GGCUCUGUAGUGUAGUGGUUAUCACUCAAGAUUCUGAUUCUUGGAACCCCGGUUCGAAUCCGGGCAGGGCCU
This 72-nucleotide transfer RNA is filed under the name Rhizoctonia solani AG-8 WAC10335. RNAcentral's name for it is "tRNA-Gln (CTG) (tRNA-Gln-CTG-1-1)". It matches the Rfam family "tRNA". Rfam says of the family: Transfer RNA (tRNA) molecules are approximately 80 nucleotides in length. Their secondary structure includes four short double-helical elements and three loops (D, anti-codon, and T loops). Lineage: Eukaryota; Fungi; Basidiomycota; Agaricomycetes; Cantharellales; Ceratobasidiaceae. The record is from RNAcentral.